Molecule: long non-coding RNA, 655 nt
Filed under: Anas platyrhynchos platyrhynchos (common mallard)
Lineage: Eukaryota; Metazoa; Chordata; Aves; Anseriformes; Anatidae
Description: lncRNA (ENSAPLG00000030361.1)
Source: RNAcentral
CUGAACCGCUGCAUUCUUUAACGGGUACUCGGUCUGGGUGUGUACUGACCUCCUGCAGAGCGCUCCGUGCCUGGUGGAGACCAUUAUCACCUAGCUAACGGCUGUCGUUAAGAGGUGAAUUGCAAAGAGAAUAAGACACCUAAGCGUGAAUAAUGCUUUACACCUGCAGAGCCUGUCAGAGCCCCAGAGGUCAGUGCUGCCUUCAUCCAGAGGUGCGUGCUCUUGAACAAUCCCUGUGGACAUUUGGUCAUGCCAAAGGAGGUGACUACAGAUGUCAACUGUCCUUCAAUCUUGAGUCAUUGUGAGAUGUUAACUGAGUAAACUUGUGGUGUCUCAAGCAUUUGGAAUUUCAUACGGCAAGAAAGCAUUUUUUUUUACUAAAAAAGAGAAAGAAUAUUAGCUUUUUUUUUUUUUCAUCAUCUCAGCAUUUCAAUAUCUUUUUAUGUGUAGAUCCAUCUCAGAAAAAAAUGGAUAGCACAUCAGGAAAAAAAAUUAUGACACCACAAAAUGUGCUGAUGAGUCCCAACCACCUUACCACUUUUAAAACGAUACUGUGGUACUGUGGUAUUGACUGAAAAAUUAGACUUCAGAGCUAUAAAACUAGAUGACAAAUAUAUAUAUUUUUUCUCAUCAAAUUUUUAUUUCUCACCUUCAG